This 438-nucleotide ribosomal RNA is filed under the name uncultured soil bacterium. Its description in RNAcentral is "bacterial SSU rRNA". It matches the Rfam family "Bacterial small subunit ribosomal RNA", at positions 26 to 487 of the family's 1533-position model. The record is from RNAcentral.
AGAUUGAACGCUGGCGGCAGGCCUAACACAUGCAAGUCGAGCGGCAGCACGGGUACUUGUACCUGGUGGCGAGCGGCGGACGGGUGAGUAAUGCCUAGGAAUCUGCCUGGUAGUGGGGGAUAACGCUCGGAAACGGACGCUAAUACCGCAUACGUCCUACGGGAGAAAGCAGGGGACCUUCGGGCCUUGCGCUAUCAGAUGAGCCUAGGUCGAUUAGCUAGUUGGUGAGGUAAUGGCUCACCAAGGCGACGAUCCGUAACUGGUCUGAGAGGAUGAUCAGUCACACUGGAACUGAGACACGGUCCAGACUCCUACGGGAGGCAGCAAGUGGGGAAUAUUGGACAAGUGGGGACGAAAAGGCCCUAGGAUCCGAGCCAUACGCCCGUCGGUUCGUGUGAAGAAGGUUCUUACGGAUUGGUAAAGCUAACGUUUAAAGUU